AUGUUGACAAAGGGGUUCACCAAAAAAAUUGAACUGAAUGUUACUAGUAGACGGUCCAAUUCUUCUAUGUUGGGGUGGCUGGGUUUUAUACUACUAUAUGCAUUUUUCUUCGUCAUAAUCUACUACUACACGCCAGGCACAGGCAGAGUUUCCACGGGUCCUCGCUCGCAGUGUUUGUUAACUGAGCUGACACCUCACCUAAUAACUGAACCAAAGCCCUUACUGUACACGUCGUGCAUUCCUGUUUUGAGUUUUAAAACUCUGACGGAAAACAUCGACGGAGAAUUGUUCAGAAACGCGUGGGCGUGGGUUUCCCCUGCCCUGGCAAAUUACACUAGCACACUCGGUAUUUUCCUUUUUUCACCUUAA
RNAcentral lists this ribosomal RNA (369 nucleotides) under Triticum aestivum (bread wheat). Its description in RNAcentral is "partial small subunit ribosomal RNA". The record is from RNAcentral. Lineage: Eukaryota; Viridiplantae; Streptophyta; Magnoliopsida; Poales; Poaceae.